This 253-nucleotide ribosomal RNA is filed under the name uncultured bacterium. RNAcentral describes it as "partial 16S ribosomal RNA". It matches the Rfam family "Bacterial small subunit ribosomal RNA", at positions 524 to 776 of the family's 1533-position model. The record is from RNAcentral.
GACAGAGGUGCCGAGCGUUAGGCGGAAUCACUGGGCUUAAAGCGUGUGUAGGCGGGCGGGCAAGUACCUUGUGAAAUCCCACGGCUCAACCGUGGAACUGCUGGGUAUACUGCCUGUCUUGAGCCAACUAGGGGCGAGCGGAACAGACGGUGGAGCGGUGAAAUGCGUAGAUAUCGUCUGGAACGCCGAAGGUGAAAACAGCUCGCUGGGGCUGUGCUGACGCUGAGACACGAAAGCCAGGGGAGCGAACGGG